This 2369-nucleotide ribosomal RNA is filed under the name Listeria monocytogenes. RNAcentral describes it as "partial 23S ribosomal RNA". It matches the Rfam family "Bacterial large subunit ribosomal RNA", at positions 561 to 2925 of the family's 2925-position model. The record is from RNAcentral. Lineage: Bacteria; Bacillati; Bacillota; Bacilli; Caryophanales; Listeriaceae.
UGCCUACAAGUAGUUAGAGCCCGUUAAUGGGUGAUAGCGUGCCUUUUGUAGAAUGAACCGGCGAGUUACGAUUUGUUGCAAGGUUAAGCGGAAAAAGCGGAGCCGUAGCGAAAGCGAGUCUGAAUAGGGCGCAUAAGUAACAGGUCGUAGACCCGAAACCAGGUGAUCUACCCAUGUCCAGGAUGAAGGUAAGGUAAUACUUACUGGAGGUCCGAACCCACGCACGUUGAAAAGUGCGGGGAUGAGGUGUGGGUAGCGGAGAAAUUCCAAUCGAACUUGGAGAUAGCUGGUUCUCUCCGAAAUAGCUUUAGGGCUAGCCUCGAGGUAAAGAGUCAUGGAGGUAGAGCACUGUUUGGACUAGGGGCCCUUCUCGGGUUACCGAAUUCAGAUAAACUCCGAAUGCCAUGUACUUAUACUCGGGAGUCAGACUGCGAGUGAUAAGAUCCGUAGUCGAAAGGGAAACAGCCCAGACCACCAGUUAAGGUCCCCAAAUAUAUGUUAAGUGGAAAAGGAUGUGGGGUUGCUUAGACAACCAGGAUGUUGGCUUAGAAGCAGCCACCAUUGAAAGAGUGCGUAAUAGCUCACUGGUCGAGUGACCCCGCGCCGAAAAUGUACCGGGGCUAAACAUAUUACCGAAACUGUGGAUGAACCUCUUUAGAGGUUCGUGGUAGGAGAGCGUUCUAAGGGCGGUGAAGUCAGACCGGAAGGACUGGUGGAGCGCUUAGAAGUGAGAAUGCCGGUAUGAGUAGCGAAAGAAGGGUGAGAAUCCCUUCCACCGAAUAUCUAAGGUUUCCUGAGGAAGGCUCGUCCGCUCAGGGUUAGUCGGGACCUAAGCCGAGGCCGAUAGGCGUAGGCGAUGGACAACAGGUAGAGAUUCCUGUACCAGUGCUAAUUGUUUAACCGAUGGGGUGACACAGAAGGAUAGGGAAUCGCACGAAUGGAAAUGUGCGUCCAAGCAGUGAGUGUGAGAAGUAGGCAAAUCCGCUUCUCGCGAAGCAUGAGCUGUGAUGGGGAAGGAAAUUAAGUACGGAAGUUCCUGAUUUCACGCUGUCAAGAAAAGCCUCUAGGAAGAGUAGUACUGCCCGUACCGCAAACCGACACAGGUAGAUGAGGAGAGAAUCCUAAGGUGAGCGAGAGAACUCUCGUUAAGGAACUCGGCAAAAUGACCCCGUAACUUCGGGAGAAGGGGUGCUCUAUUAGGGUGCAAGCCCGAGAGAGCCGCAGUGAAUAGGCCCAGGCGACUGUUUAGCAAAAACACAGGUCUCUGCAAAACCGUAAGGUGACGUAUAGGGGCUGACGCCUGCCCGGUGCUGGAAGGUUAAGAGGAGUGCUUAGCUUCGGCGAAGGUACGAAUUGAAGCCCCAGUAAACGGCGGCCGUAACUAUAACGGUCCUAAGGUAGCGAAAUUCCUUGUCGGGUAAGUUCCGACCCGCACGAAAGGCGCAACGAUCUGGGCACUGUCUCAACGAGAGACUCGGUGAAAUUAUAGUACCUGUGAAGAUGCAGGUUACCCGCGACAGGACGGAAAGACCCCGUGGAGCUUUACUGCAACCUGAUAUGGAAUGUUUGUACCGCUUGUACAGGAUAGGUAGGAGCCGAAGAGACGUGUGCGCUAGCAUACGAGGAGGCAAUGGUGGGAUACUACCCUGGCUGUAUGACCAUUCUAACCCGCCACGCUUAGCGCGUGGGGAGACAGUGUCAGGUGGGCAGUUUGACUGGGGCGGUCGCCUCCUAAAGAGUAACGGAGGCGCCCAAAGGUUCCCUCAGAAUGGAUGGAAAUCAUUCGCAGAGUGUAAAGGCACAAGGGAGCUUGACUGCGAGACUGACAAGUCGAGCAGGGACGAAAGUCGGGCUUAGUGAUCCGGUGGUUCCGCAUGGAAGGGCCAUCGCUCAACGGAUAAAAGCUACCCCGGGGAUAACAGGCUUAUCUCCCCCAAGAGUCCACAUCGACGGGGAGGUUUGGCACCUCGAUGUCGGCUCGUCGCAUCCUGGGGCUGUAGUCGGUCCCAAGGGUUGGGCUGUUCGCCCAUUAAAGCGGCACGCGAGCUGGGUUCAGAACGUCGUGAGACAGUUCGGUCCCUAUCCGUCGCGGGCGCAGGAAAUUUGAGAGGAGCUGUCCUUAGUACGAGAGGACCGGGAUGGACACACCGCUGGUGUACCAGUUGUUCCGCCAGGAGCAUCGCUGGGUAGCUAUGUGUGGCAGGGAUAAACGCUGAAAGCAUCUAAGCGUGAAGCCCCCCUCAAGAUGAGAUUUCCCAUUUCUUCGGAAAGUAAGAUCCCUGAAAGAUGAUCAGGUAGAUAGGUUUGGAGUGGAAGUGUAGCGAUACAUGGAGCGGACAAAUACUAAUCGAUCGAGGACUUAACCAAAA